CUACCGGUUCCCGUACGAUCACCGAAGUUAAGCAGCAUCGAGCUUGGCCAAGUACCUAGAUGGGUGGGUAACCUCUUGUGAAUGCCAGGGGCUGUAAG
Non-coding RNA from Acanthosepion pharaonis, 98 nucleotides. The record is from the annotation of a GenBank genome assembly. Lineage: Eukaryota; Metazoa; Mollusca; Cephalopoda; Sepiida; Sepiidae.